GGCUGUUUGGCUGUCACUUGUAGCAAUAACGGCAUUAGUUCUAGUCAGUGCUGUUUUACAUUUUUCUUUUGAUGGGUUUAGUCUUGCACUGGAGUGCCGAUGGUGAUUCUCCCUCCAGAGCCACGCUUGGGAACAUGAAGCAAGCCUGGCAUGUGGGCUGCGUGCCGGCCUUAGUGGACCUGUGGGGAUGAAGCACGCCUUUAGGGGCAGUGUCUGGCCCGGAAGCACGUGCCACCACACAGUGUCAGAGCCAGAGAAGGGGCCCAACCACCAAGACCAAGCUUGACCAGGUCGGCAUUGCCAUGACCCAGUGUGGCCCGUGGCCUCUGAAGACCCCUCUCUGCAGGGUUUGCAGGGAUCUGGAUUGCAAGGGCCGGAGUAUGUAGGUCUGGAAGCAUCUUCCUAUAAGAGCGCUUUUGCCUGGUGGGUCAGGACUCCAAGGUGCAGCAGGCUUCACAGCCCUACAAUUAGGUUCUCAGCUAAUCCCCAGAGUUCUGGUAGAACCAUCCCGGGGCGGGCGGAGGGUGGGAUUCAAGGGAGACAGGAACACAUGGGCAGGUCCUGGAAUUCGGUGGCCUGAGGACUGAGGCCAUCGCCUGGUGGAAAGGCCUGGCCAGGUUCCCGUGGCUUGGUACCUGAAUAGGCAGGUGCUGCUGGCUCCGUAGAAACCCUUUUCCCAUCUUUUGCUGUUUGCCAAACCAACCUUGCUUUGGGAGCUGCCUGCACGCCUCCCCCAGAGAAGGUCCCACCUUCUGCGCCCCUCAGACCCGAGGAGGUCUCCCAGUGAGGAGUUUGCCAAGAGGGGGACUCACAGGAAACAAGGCUUGGUGCUUGGGAGGGAGGCCCCGCUGCGUGCUCAGACUCAGCCAACCUGGAAGGUAGACGAGGAGAUAGCACCACCCACACGCCUCCACACCCCAGACUCCGAGUAAAGCGGGCAGCAGGGCAGGAGUCACCCCUUGUGGCAGUGGCCGCCGCUGUACUCCAUCCUCCCAUCGGGAAGAUCAGCUGUAAAUAAACGCUGGGCUCUUCAGAGCACCUGUCCGCGCACUGCCCUUGCUGUCCUGGGCUCUUCGCUGCAGUUCACGGGAAACAAGCCUGAGUCUGCAUCCGCGACGGCUCCGCCCGGACGCUUCUGCCUCCGGCCACCGGGUGGCGCUGCCGAGCCAGAGCCGCCGCGUCCGGAGCUUUCCAGGAGCCCCAGGCCCCGGGGAGGCGAAGCCCGCAGAGCAAAGGUGGAAACACGUGCCUACGCUGUAAAGAAAUCCUGUUCCAGAGCAUACCUGUUGUACAAACAGACACUGUUCCUAACGAGAGGAGUGACGUAUUUUCAUCACCGUUUUUAAUUUGUUUUCUUACGGGUUUACGAUUUUGAAUUUUUCUUAUUUGGUUGAAAGAAUUUUGAUUCUAUCAACCUGAGUUCAGCCUGUAAAAAGGAUGUUAAGCUGUGGGUAAAAUAUGCAAACGAAGAGAAAUAUAUUGUACAAAUUCUAUAUAAUAAGGUA
Cercocebus atys (sooty mangabey) is the source of this 1505-nucleotide RNA transcript. RefSeq lists it as uncharacterized. Lineage: Eukaryota; Metazoa; Chordata; Mammalia; Primates; Cercopithecidae. The transcript has a single exon. The record is from RefSeq and is a predicted model, not a curated record.